UGUCCUAUUGAACCUCAGACCCCAAUUUCC
Molecule: non-coding RNA, 30 nt
Filed under: Mus musculus (house mouse)
Lineage: Eukaryota; Metazoa; Chordata; Mammalia; Rodentia; Muridae
Source: RNAcentral